RNAcentral lists this ribosomal RNA (135 nucleotides) under Henningsomyces sp. Its description in RNAcentral is "partial large subunit ribosomal RNA". It matches the Rfam family "Eukaryotic large subunit ribosomal RNA", at positions 99 to 229 of the family's 3401-position model. The record is from RNAcentral. Lineage: Eukaryota; Fungi; Basidiomycota; Agaricomycetes; Agaricales; Schizophyllaceae.
CGGGAAAAGCUCAAAUUUAAAAUCUGGCAGUCUUUGGCUGUCCGAGUUGUAAUUUAGAGAAGUGUUACCCGUGCUGGACUAUGUAAAAGUCUUCUGGAAUGAAGCAUCAUGGAGGGUGAGAAUCCCGUAUGUGAC